RNAcentral lists this small RNA (104 nucleotides) under Phascolarctos cinereus (koala). RNAcentral describes it as "7SK RNA (ENSPCIG00000020746.2)". It matches the Rfam family "7SK RNA", at positions 3 to 106 of the family's 331-position model. From Rfam's summary of the family: 7SK was discovered as an abundant small nuclear RNA in the mid-70s but a possible function has only recently been suggested. Two independent studies have found that 7SK RNA binds the CDK9/cyclin T complex (known as elongation factor P-TEFb). The record is from Rfam by way of RNAcentral. Lineage: Eukaryota; Metazoa; Chordata; Mammalia; Diprotodontia; Phascolarctidae.
AUGUAAAUGCAAUCUGGUUGGGACAGCUCUUACCCCAAGGAUCACCGAGGCUGAGUCAGCAGAUCAGGCUGACUAGACAAGUGUCCCCAUCCUCCUUUAUGGCU